RNAcentral lists this ribosomal RNA (158 nucleotides) under fungal endophyte WMS13. RNAcentral's name for it is "5.8S ribosomal RNA". It matches the Rfam family "5.8S ribosomal RNA". Rfam says of the family: 5.8S ribosomal RNA (5.8S rRNA) is a component of the large subunit of the eukaryotic ribosome. The record is from RNAcentral. Lineage: Eukaryota; Fungi; Ascomycota; Pezizomycetes; Pezizales.
AAACUUUCAACAACGGAUCUCUUGGUUCUGGCAUCGAUGAAAAACGCAGCGAAAUGCGAUAAGUAAUGUGAAUUGCAGAAUUCAGUGAAUCAUCGAAUCUUUGAACGCACAUUGCACCCCCUGGCAUUCCGGGGGGUAUGCCUGUUCGAGCGUCAUUA